Molecule: transfer RNA, 74 nt
Filed under: Bifidobacterium longum
Lineage: Bacteria; Bacillati; Actinomycetota; Actinomycetes; Bifidobacteriales; Bifidobacteriaceae
Description: tRNA-Trp
Rfam family: tRNA
About the family: Transfer RNA (tRNA) molecules are approximately 80 nucleotides in length.
Source: RNAcentral
GCGUCGGUAGCUUAACGGCAGAGUGCCGGUCUCCAAAACCAUGGGUGUGAGGUCGAGACUCACCCGACGCGCCA